UCGCAACUCCGGCACGGCGGCUCCGCCGUGCUCCGGCGACGGCGCCGCCGCUGGCGGCGGCGAGUCGCCUCGGGUUGACUGUUUUCGGCCGUUUUCGGCCGAAUUCGGCCACACUCGCAUUGAUCCUUGUCAGAAAACAACCCUAGGGCCCUCGGGGGGCCAAAAAAUCACGGAAAAACGGAGCUUACCGGCGGCAGCGCUCUCGGGUGCAGCGGCUCUCCGGCGAGGUUCGUGUUUUGGUGAUUCGGCUCCGGUCAACCUGUAGAGAAAAGAAUGGUGAUCACGGUGAUAUAAAAAUUGCAUCGAACGGAGGCCGGGAAGGGCCUCGUCGGAGGCAAAAACCGAGAGGAGGCGCGGCGGCGCCGCUGGGCUUCGGCCGCGUGUUCCGGCCGUUUGGCCGGGAUUUCGGCUUCGAUUUGGCCAUAGGAGGAAUCAGUGGGGAAAAACGAGUCGGGGGUAUGAAAUUUACCUCGAUCGGCGGUCGGGAAAUUUCCCCGUGCGGCGGCGAGUGGCGGCGGGUGGCGGCGGUCGGCCUCUGGUUCGUCUUCUCCGGCGAGCGGCUGGCGGCUAGGGUUUGUGGUCUGGUGUGGGGGUUCUAUUUAUAACCCCUUGCCUUUUGAUCACAGCCGUUCAUUUUGUUUUAAUCUGGGCCGUUCGUUUUUGAUUGAAUCUGGGCUGUCCGUGCGAUUGAAUCUGGGCCGUCCGAUCGCGUGAUUGAUCUGGGCCGUCGGAUCGCACCCACGCGGAUCGCCAACGUGGCUCCUUUCGGAGUGAC
Molecule: long non-coding RNA, 775 nt
Filed under: Carica papaya (papaya)
Lineage: Eukaryota; Viridiplantae; Streptophyta; Magnoliopsida; Brassicales; Caricaceae
Description: long non-coding RNA (CPAP_LNC000637)
Source: RNAcentral